This 1191-nucleotide long non-coding RNA is filed under the name Homo sapiens (human). RNAcentral's name for it is "HSALNT0285304". Lineage: Eukaryota; Metazoa; Chordata; Mammalia; Primates; Hominidae. The record is from RNAcentral.
UCCAGCCUGGGUGACAGAGCAAGACUCCGUCUCAAUUUAAAAAAUUAAUAAUAAUAACCUUGAGUCCCCAUUAUGCCAGAUAAAUGAGUGACAUUGUUUUACUUAGAAUACAGGACUGAAGACCGCCCCGUCACAUGUCCUCAGCAUUGCUGUAUAUUGUGCCCUUCCUCCACAUCCUCCCCAGGCCUCCCUGCCUGGCUGAAAUGGCUCACACAGCUUCCCUUCUCUUUCUGUCAUCGUCUUGGACUGCUGCCCAAUCCCUGGCCCUCACCUUCAGGGGUGACCUUAUGGCUGGAACGAGGACUGGAGAAGAGCCAAUGGGGCAAGGCCAGUAUAGCUUCAAUGAGUGAAUCCUGGAAAUAAAAGAGUCCCCAACCUCCCAGGCUGCUGGACCUUGGCCUGUUAGGAACCAGCCGCACAGAAAGAGAUUCUUCACAAUGCACCCUUCUGAGCUUUACUUUGCAGCAUUCAAUGCAGAAAUCUUGGAAAACACAAAAAAGCAACAAGGAAAAUUUUGGAAAUCUUGGAAAACACAAAAAAGCGACAAGAGAAAAGAACGAAAAAUUAUCAAUGGUGCAUACUCAUGACUCUCUCUCUCAAAUCUCUCUCUCUCUCUCUCUCUCAUGUUUCAUGGCCUUUUUCCCUUAAAAACAUACUGUAAAUUUUUCCAUGUCAUUUACUAUUUCUCCAUAGCGUUAUUUUUUGUUGUUGUUUUUGUUUUUUUUAGAGUAGAUCACUUACAAAUUUUAUUUUUUAAAGAACAUCUUUUCCCCAGCCACAGUAUAGUUAUAAGCUAAGAAUAAUUUCCAAUAUUGCACAAUGAAUGCAUCCAGAUCCUGCAAUAUUGAUCAAAAGAGUGGAUUAAAAUGGAAUAUGAUAGCAAUUUCAUGGAAGUCUCCCUUUCUAAAUACUGACUCCUUAGUGUUAUUUUAUUGUCUACACAGUACUCCAGACUAUGGAUCUACCAUAACUUAUUUAACUUUGCCAUUUAUUGUAAUAUUUCUGUUAUUUUCAUGUUUUGCUAUUAAAAUAAUGUUUUAAUAAACACAACGCUACUUCUAGUUUUAUUGAAAGAAAUCACUACCAGAGAGAAGUCAACCUACUAAUUUAUAGAAGAAUGGCAUGGGGAGGGAUAGAUGUGUAAAAGCGGGUGGAAAUAGAAACGGAGAAUAGUCAUAAAAUUUAAAAAGG